CCGGCGACCGGCGCACAGGUGAGUAACACGUAUGCAACCUGCCCUCUUCAGGGGGACAAACCUUCCCGAAAAGGGAGGCUAAUCCCGCGUAUAUCGGUUUCGGGCAUCCGAGAUCGAGGAAAGAUUCAUCGGAAGAGGAUGGGCAUGCGGCGCAUUAGCUAGACGGCGGGGUAACGGGCCCACCGUGGCGACGAUGCGUAGGGGUUCUGAGAGGAAGGUCCCCCACACUGGUACUGAGACACGGACCAGACUCCUACGGAAGGCAGCAG
RNAcentral lists this ribosomal RNA (269 nucleotides) under uncultured bacterium. Its description in RNAcentral is "partial 16S ribosomal RNA". It matches the Rfam family "Bacterial small subunit ribosomal RNA", at positions 88 to 354 of the family's 1533-position model. The record is from RNAcentral.